This 371-nucleotide ribosomal RNA is filed under the name uncultured bacterium. Its description in RNAcentral is "bacterial SSU rRNA". It matches the Rfam family "Bacterial small subunit ribosomal RNA", at positions 525 to 896 of the family's 1533-position model. The record is from RNAcentral.
ACGUAGGGUGCAAGCGUUAAUCGGAAUUACUGGGCGUAAAGCGUGCGCAGGCGGUUAUGUAAGACAGAUGUGAAAUGCCCGGGCUUAACCUGGGAACUGCAUUUGUGACUGCAUGGCUAGAAUCUGGCAGAGGGGGGUAGAAUUCCACGUGUAGCAGUGAAAUGCGUAGAUAUGUGGAGGAAUACCGAUGGCGAAGGCAGCCCCCUGGGCUAAGAUUGACGCUCAUGCACGAAAGCGUGGGGAGCAAACAGGAUUAGAUACCCUGGUAGUCCACGCCCUAAACGAUGUCUACUAGUUGUCGGGUCUUAAUUGACUUGGUAACGCAGCUAACGCGUGAAGUAGACCGCCUGGGGAGUACGGUCGCAAGAUUA